Molecule: ribosomal RNA, 2121 nt
Filed under: Agathobaculum butyriciproducens
Lineage: Bacteria; Bacillati; Bacillota; Clostridia; Eubacteriales; Butyricicoccaceae
Description: bacterial LSU rRNA
Rfam family: Bacterial large subunit ribosomal RNA
Source: RNAcentral
CUAUCCAUGAGCAGGCUGAAGCGGUGGUAAGACACCGUGGAGGGCCGCACCCACGUCUGUUGAAAAAGCCGGGGAUGACUUGUGGAUAGCGGAGAAAUUCCAAUCGAACUCGGAGAUAGCUGGUUCUCCCCGAAAUAGCUUUAGGGCUAGCGUUAUUUUAGAUUACCGGAGGUAAAGCACUGAAUGGUCUAGGGGCCGCGAGGUUACCAAAGCCUAUCAAACUCUGAAUGCCGGAUAAUUGAUGAAUAGCAGUCAGACUGUGUGAGAUAAGUCUCAUAGUCAAAAGGGAAACAGCCCAGAUCUACAGCUAAGGUCCCAAAUGAACACUAAGUGGAAAAUGAUGUGAAACUGCGAAGACAACCAGGAUGUUGGCUUAGAAGCAGCCACUCAUUCAAAGAGUGCGUAAUAGCUCACUGGUCGAGUGGUUUUGCGCAGAAAAUGUAACGGGGCUAAGUGUUCAACCGAAGCUUAGGCAUUGUACUUUGUACAUUGGGUAGGGGAGCGUCGUAUGCGGGGCGAAGUCAGAGCGGAAGCACUGGUGGACUGCAUACGAGUGAGAAUGCCGGAAUAAGUAGCGAGAAUUAUGUGAGAAUCAUAAUGGCCGAAAAUCUAAGGUUUCUUGGGGAAGGUUCGUCCGCCCAAGGUUAGUCGGGAGCUAAGCUCAGGCCGAAAGGCGUAGGCGAUGCACAUACGGUAGAAAUUCCGUAACCACCGAACAUUUAAGCUAGAGGGACGCUUUCUUUAAGGUUAUCCCGGGCGAUGGUUGCCCCGGGCGUAAGGGACCGAAAUUUAGUAGGGAAGUAACUGGCGAGAGAGACGAGAAAAGCUCUAGUGUAUACUAAGGUGCCCGUACCGCAAACCGACACAGGUAGAUGGGAUGAGUAUUCUAAGGCCAACGGGAGAAGGGUUGUUAAGGAACUCGGCAAAUUGGCCCCGUAACUUCGGGAUAAGGGGCGCCUGCGAGAGCAGGCCGCAGUGAAAAGGCCCAAGCGACUGUUUAGCAAAAACACAGCUCUCUGCUAAAUCGAAAGAUGACGUAUAGGGGGUGACGCCUGCCCGGUGCUGGAAGGUUAAGGGGAGUGCUUAGCGGAAACGCGAAGGUGCGAACUUAAGCCCCAGUAAACGGCGGCCGUAACUAUAACGGUCCUAAGGUAGCGAAAUUCCUUGUCAGGUAAGUUCUGACCCGCACGAAUGGCGUAACGAUUUGGGCACUGUCUCAACAGCCCGCCCGGCGAAAUUGUAGUACCGGUGAAGAUGCCGGUUUCCCGCAACUAGACGGAAAGACCCCAUGGAGCUUCACUGUAGCUUGAUAUUGGAUCUCGGUAUUCCAUGUACAGGAUAGGUGGGAGGCUAGGAAGCGAGCGCGCCAGCGUUCGUGGAGCCAACCUUGGGAUACCACUCUUGGGAUAUUGGGAUUCUAACCUGCGACCAUGAAUCUGGUCGGGGGACACUGUCAGGUGGGCAGUUUGACUGGGGCGGUCGCCUCCAAAAGAGUAACGGAGGCGCUCAAAGGUUCGUUCAGCACGGAUGGAAAUCGUGCACUGAGUGUAAACGCAUAAACGAGCCUAACUGCGAGAAUGACGGUUCGAGCAGUAACGAAAGUUGGAGUUAGUGAUCCGGCGGUAUGUGAAUGGAAAUGCCGUCGCUCAACGGAUAAAAGCUACCCUGGGGAUAACAGGCUGAUCUCCCCCAAGAGUCCACAUCGACGGGGAGGUUUGGCACCUCGAUGUCGGCUCAUCGCAUCCUGGGGCUGAAUUCGGUCCCAAGGGUUUGGCUGUUCGCCAAUUAAAGCGGUACGCGAGCUGGGUUCAGAACGUCGUGAGACAGUUCGGUCCCUAUCUGUUGCGGGCGCAGGAAUAUUGAGAGGAGCUGUCCUUAGUACGAGAGGACCGGGAUGGACGUACCGCUGGUGCACCAGUUGUUCUGCCAAGGGCAUAGCUGGGUAGCUAAGUACGGACGAGAUAAACGCUGAAGGCAUCUAAGCGUGAAACUCCCCUCGAGAUAAGUGUUCCCAUCCUCGGGAGUAAGGCCCCUUGUAGACUACAAGGUUGAUAGGUCAGGAGUGGAAGUGCAGUAAUGUAUGGAGCGGACUGAUACUAAUAGGCCGAGGGCUUGACCUUA